This 340-nucleotide unclassified non-coding RNA is filed under the name fungal sp. Its description in RNAcentral is "partial internal transcribed spacer region". The stretch from base 1 to 45 matches the Rfam family "Eukaryotic small subunit ribosomal RNA", at positions 1787 to 1831 of the family's 1831-position model. The record is from RNAcentral. Lineage: Eukaryota; Fungi.
AGUCGUAACAAGGUUUCCGUAGGUGAACCUGCGGAAGGAUCAUUAACAAAUCGGACUGUGGUUUCACGUUAGACAUGCAUGAGUGAGUGAUCAUAUUUAUGUAUGAUGUGUACACUUGUAUAUGUAUGAGUGAGUGAUCAUAUCAUAUCACUCAUAUCAUGUAUGUCAUCAUAUCAUGUAUGUCAGAUCAUAUCACUCAUAUCAUGUCUAACGUGGGACUGCUGGACAUUGGCGCUUCGCCGCUUGGCGAGUGCAUGAACGCUUUAUUGUCGGUUGAUGGUAGUGUGGGCUAGUAAAUAGUAAAUAACGAUCACUUUUAACAAUGGAUCUCUUGGCUCCU